GAAAUCUUUAAAUUCACUGUUUAAGUGCUUUAAAUAUUUAAAUACGUUAAAAAAAAUUGUAAUUUCUUUGGCUCAUCUUAAACUUUUCUAUUUUUUCCAUUUAAUGGUGGGUUGGUACUCAUAAGCGUUAAUUCAUUUGUUUUAGUUUUUAUCGGUUGCUCCUUUUUUGCCAAACAAAUUAUUUGACUUGUGCUGAAAAUAGUUCUUGUCUAAUUUUAAAUUUAGCUAGCAUCAUAAAUAGAUUAUUAAUACAUUAUAUAAAUGUUGCAAAAACAAAUUAUACAUAUUGAACAUUGAUACCCUGAUCAGACUAUCUUUGAUCUAACAUAUGAAUCUUUGUAUAUAUUUUGUGCUCGUUUUGGCUGUUUUCGCUGGUACAGCUUACACAUGGAAUGAUGUAGAAAUUCGUAAUCAAAUCGGUCCUAAUAUUGUUCUCCAUAUGAAGUGUCAUAUGACGAACCCAACAAAUGAUCUAGGAAGCAAGGAUUUACAAUUUAAUACCUCUCAUACCUUUGAGUUUAGGGAUGUAGAUACAAUAAAUUGGAAAAAAGAAGAAACACAGUGUCUUUUAAGAUAUGGUAGAUAUUACCAUGAUGUUCAAGUAUAUCGAGAAUCAUUUUUGACGAGAAGUGGCAUACUACGUUCAUGGGAGGCCAGAAGAGAUGGAAUUUACUUUAAAACGCGUCACGAUAGACCAUGGGAAUUUAAAUUUCAUUGGAUUGUUGGUAAGUAAUUUUUACUAGGUGGGUUUACGUGCCAUCACAAGAUUAUAAUAAUAUCAUUAUGUAUUUUAUGUAAGCUAUGUGCAGAUCUAUAUCAAAAUUUGUUUUAUUUUUUAUGUAAUUUCAAACUUACCAAAAUUUAACUGAUAUCUUUAUAUAAUUGUAUAUUUUAAUUAACUACCAUUAUAUAUCUUAUGUAUUUACAUUGUCUUUAAACGGUUAUAAGAAUAUAAUACUUUUAAAUAUUUAGUCGCUUGUUCAACACAUGAAUUUCUUGUACUUUUAAAUGUGUACAUAAUAUACAAUAUUCAGAUUUCAAAUAACACAAUAAAUAUGUGUUAAAUUUAAUUAUAUAUUAAUAGAAUUUAUUAGAUAAUCGAUACAAUGGAAUAAUUAUUAUUUGUUACAAAUGUUGGUUAGUAUUUAAUUAUUGAGAUAUGAGUACCGAGAAUUUCGAACACAAUAUCUAGUUUAACAAUGAUAUAAUAAUUAUUAGGGAAAUUUUGAAAAUACAUUCAAAUGAGAUUAUAUUUUGAUAAAUACACCAUUUAUUAUUAUUCAUGAAAACUACACUUAUUUAUAACUGAACUAAAAUAACCUAAUUAGAAAUUUAUAAUAAUUUUAGUCUCAAAUCGAAAUUUAUUUUAAAAAUCAAAUAUUUCCACGUUUUAAAUUUAGUACAAAACUCAUCAAGAGAAACCUAGGGUUUUCUUUUUCUUUUUCCUUUGCAUCUAUCUACUCCGAUUGAUUCACAAUGGUCCUAUUUAUCCAUCUUAUUACCACAUCAAAUUUCCAUGGUCGCAAUGUUUAGUAUUAUCAAGGUCCGAUGGUUUGAUUUGGUGUAGCUUUUUUUCUUUUUUUUCUUUUUAGCAUCCGUGUAGCUUUUUUCUUAGGUGGAAGCCAUAUAAACUUAAGUUUUUUGUUCUAUUUAAAAAAAAAUUAAGAAUCUAUAUUUUUACUGAUUUUUUCCACGCAGCUGGUAAAGUGAAUUAAUAAUGUGGAACCAGAGCAUAUCCUUAACCAUACGUAGGAGAUUCUAAAAGUGUAUCCAUAUAAUUUGGAGAGUCAAAAUACUCAAAACUGAUAGAGCUAUGAUUAAACAAUAUUCCUAUUCCGGACAUGAAAAAAAAAAAAAAGAUGAGUUAAUUCUACAUGUGGCAGCCUGGACUUAACCAUCUGUCUCUCCUGCUAUGUCAUUAACAUUUGAGUUAGAAGGCCUCUUUUUCAACCCUCUGUUUUGCAUGAUUCUUAGUCUUUGACGACUCAAUCGUAACCUUCUGUUCCACAUGAAUAUUAUGUAGCGAGAUUAUAAGUUGUGUGUCAUAGUCCGAGGUCAUUUUAGCUGACAUGGAAGCGGAUAUCACAGGUAUAUCUACUUUUUGUGCAUCUGAUAAAUUAGAAGCUCCAAACAAACGAACAGAAUAAGUAUCAAUGAAACUAAUCCCCCACUACCUUUUGCAGUUCCUUGAUGACAGAGAUACAAUCCCCCACUGACCAUGCAACUUUCAUAAUGUAAGUUGUUCACUCUUAUAUAAGCUAUUAAUCAAGAUUGAUCUCUGAGUAUUUGCAGUUCUUGUUAUGAGGAUUGUCACACUUUUUUGCGUUUAAUCUCUGUUUUGUAAUUUUCAGAGUCUGAUAUUCAGAGAAGUCUGAUAAUCUUUUUAUCAAAAAGAUCAGUGUGAUGUCAUUUUAUUUGAUAUGUAAAUGCAGAACCAUUUGUAAAUAAUAACUGAUGUCUUUUGGAUGAAUACAAGAAUAGAAGUAUAUUAUUAUCAAUUCAUGAUUAACACACAAAUUAGGCGGUUUAGCACAAAAUUAGGCAUUUAGGCUUAUUACGGUUCAGGCGCUCUUCAUAGCCUUGAAGGUGACUAAAGCUUGAAAUAAUGAGUGAAAAUUCUACUUUUUUUUUGAAGGUUCAGAGCAGGAUUUACAAAUCGUAGUAGGGUUCAGAUUCAUUGUCUCCCUUUUGAAUGUGCUUCUUUUUGGUUGCUUCAAAACGCUCUAAAAUUAUUUUCCCAUAAAUGUAUAAUCAUUAAAAUCUUUGUCACAUUUCAACGGUGCAUAUGUUCUUGAAUGUUAUCCCUCCAUAGCCCCAAAAAAUAAUGGACAUAGUUAAACCUUAGCCCAAAUUAGAAAUCCAAAAAAGACUGGCAAGUUAGGACACAAUAUAUUGUUGACAACUAAUGUCGUACGUAGCUCAUACAUUAUGAGCGUCGUUAUCUACGCUACACAGUGAUAUCAUGAUCGAAGUGAUAGACGGAUAUAGUCUCUAAGCAUAUUGACAUUGUGAGAAUACAGAAGUUAAAGUUUAUGCUAUAAAUGAAACUAAAUACAAAAGGAGCAUGACUUAUUACUUUUGUGGCACUUUCCCAUGUUUUUAAAAUUAUUACUUUUUUUGUCUCGCAGUUUCUAAAAUCUAAAUUGUUGAUAGUAUAUGAUAUUUAUUGGCUAUUGUUUAUUUUGCUGAUGUUUAUGAACCGUAAUUGUUUCUAAUGCUUUAACUUCCGAUGAGAUUAUUUUAAUUCACAACUACAAUAAGUGUUUAGUUUCAAAUUCAAGUUGCCUAAUGAUAAAUUGGUUAUUAGUAGAGAUUAAUUUUAUAUCCAAAAUUUACACGCAUAAAUAAAAAAAAACAAAAAUCAGAAUUUAAUACAUCAUGGCUAACACAAAAAUUAAAAUUAAAUAAUUUAUUAUUUUCAUUUAAAAUUUAUAUCAAAUUUAAUAAUAUAUAUUUUAAGAAAAUAACAUUAAAAUUGAAAUAUAUUGAUAUAUAUACAUUAAUCCGCACGAGGUGCAGACAAUCAUCUUGUCUGAUAGAAACACAGUCUGUUCCCAAAAAUUAAUGUUCUCCUUCAAUAUUAAUUAUGUUUUCCUAGUUUUGAUAAUGUCUCGUGAAAUCUUUAAAUUCACUGUUUAAGUGCUUUAAAUAUUUAAAUACGUUAAAAAAAAUUGUAAUUUCUUUGGCUCAUCUUAAACUUUUCUAUUUUUUCCAUUUAAUGGUGGGUUGGUACUCAUAAGCGUUAAUUCAUUUGUUUUAGUUUUUAUCGGUUGCUCCUUUUUUGCCAAACAAAUUAUUUGACUUGCGCUGAAAAUAGUUCUUGUCUAAUUUUAAAUUUAGCUAGCAUCAUAAAUAGAUUAUUAAUACAUUAUAUAAAUGUUGCAAAAACAAAUUAUACAUAUUGAACAUUGAUACCCUGAUCAGACUGUCUUUGAUCUAACAUAUGAAUCUUUGUAUAUAUUUUGUGCUCGUUUUGGCUGUUUUCGCUGGUACAGCUUACACAUGGAAUGAUGUAGAAAUUCGUAAUCAAAUCGGUCCUAAUAUUGUUCUCCAUAUGAAGUGUCAUAUGACGAACCCAACAAAUGAUCUAGGAAGCAAGGAUUUACAAUUUAAUACGUCUCAUACCUUUGAGUUUAGGGAUGUAGAUACAAUAAAUUGGAAAAAAGAAGAAACACAGUGUCUUUUAAGAUAUGGUAGAUAUUACCAUGAUGUUCAAGUAUAUCGAGAAUCAUUUUUGACGAGAAGUGGCAUACUACGUUCAUGGGAGGCCAGAAGAGAUGGAAUUUAUUUUAAAACGCGUCACGAUAGACCAUGGGAAUUUAAAUUUCAUUGGAUUGUUGGUAAGUAAUUUUUACUAGGUGGGUUUACGUGCCAUCACAAGAUUAUAAUAAUAUCAUUAUGUAUUUUAUGUAAGCUAUGUGCAGAUCUAUAUCAAAAUUUGUUUUAUUUUUUAUGUAAUUUCAAACUUACCAAAAUUUAACUGAUAUCUUUAUAUAAUUGUAUAUUUUAAUUAACUACCAUUAUAUAUCUUAUGUAUUUACAUUGUCUUUAAACGGUUAUAAGAAUAUAAUACUUUUAAAUAUUUAGUCGCUUGUUCAACACAUGAAUUUCUUGUACUUUUAAAUGUGUACAUAAUAUACAAUAUUCAGAUUUCAAAUAACACAAUAAAUAUGUGUUAAAUUUAAUUAUAUAUUAAUAGAAUUUAUUAGAUAAUCGAUACAAUGGAAUAAUUAUUAUUUGUUACAAAUGUUGGAUAGUAUUUAAUUAUUGAGAUAUGAGUGCCGAGAAUUUCGAACACAAUAUCUAGUUUAACAAUGAUAUAAUAAUUAUUAGGGAAAUUUUGAAAAUACAUUCAAAUGAGAUUAUAUUUUGAUAAAUACACCAUUUAUUAUUAUUUAUGAAAACUACACUUAUUUAUAACUGAACUAAAAUAACCUAAUUAGAAAGUUAUAAUAAUUUUAGUCUCAAAUCGAAAUUUAUUUUAAAAAUCAAAUAUUUCCACGUUUUAAAUUUAGUACAAAACUCUGUCUCAUCCCAAUCAAGAGAAACCUAGGGUUUUCUUUUUCCUUUGCAUCUAUCUACUCCGAUUGAUUCACAAUGGUCCUAUUUAUCCAUCUUAUUACCACAUCAAAUUUCCAUGGUCGCAAUGUUUAGUAUUAUCAAGGUCCGAUGGUUUGAUUUGGUGUAGCUUUUUUUCUUUUUUUUUUCUUUUUAGCAUCCGUGUAGCUUUUUUCUUAGGUGGAAGCCAUAUAAACUUAAGUUUUUUGUUCUAUUUAAAAAAAAAUAAGAAUCUAUAUUUUUACUGAUUUUUUCCACGCAGCUGGUAAAGUGAAUUAAUAAUGUGGAACCAGAGCAUAUCCUUAACCAUACGUAGGAGAUUCUAAAAGUGUAUCCAUAUAAUUUGGAGAGUCAAAAUACUCAAAACUAAUAGAGCUAUGAUUAAACAAUAUUCCUAUUCCGGACAUGAAAAAAAAAAAAGAAAGAUGAGUUAAUUCUACAUGUGGCAGCCUGGACUUAACCAUCUGCCUCUCCUGCUAUGUCAUUAACAUUUGAGUUAGAAGGCCUCUUUUUCAACCCUCUGUUUUGCAUGAUUCUUAGUCUUUGACGACUCAAUCGUAACCUUCUGUUCCACAUGAAUAUUAUGUAGCGAGAUUAUAAGUUGUGUGUCAUAGUCCGAGGUCAUUUUAGCUGACAUGGAAGCGGAUAUCACAGGUAUAUCUACUUUUUGUGCAUCUGAUAAAUUAGAAGCUCCAAACAAACGAACAGAAUAAGUAUCAAUGAAACUAAUCCCCCACUACCUUUUGCAGUUCCUUGAUGACAGAGAUACAAUCCCCCACUGACCAUGCAACUUUCAUAAUAGUCUGAUAUUCAGAGAAGUCUGAUAAUCUUUUUAUCAAAAAGAUCAGUGUGAUGUCAUUUUAUUUGAUAUGUAAAUGCAGAACCAUUUGUAAAUAAUAACUGAUGUCUUUUGGAUGAAUACAAGAAUAGAAGUAUAUUAUUAUCAA
This is a long non-coding RNA of Brassica napus (rape), 6005 nucleotides long. RefSeq lists it as uncharacterized. Lineage: Eukaryota; Viridiplantae; Streptophyta; Magnoliopsida; Brassicales; Brassicaceae. The record is from RefSeq and is a predicted model, not a curated record. The transcript has 2 exons.